GGAGGGCAGAAAGGAUCGAGGUAGAGCUCUGGCUCUGGAUCUGCUGCAGAGAGAAAAGUUAGCUCUGGUGGCCUUUACCUCAGGCUUUGAUGACAGACAGAGGAACCAACAAUCUAACCUGAUGCCUGCCUCUCCCCACGCCAGUGCUGAGGAGCUCCUGCAGAGAAAGCCUGCUCUUCCAGCCCUUGUAUUCAGGACAGGUGCCGGGUGGUCCCUCAAGACCCUUUUUCAGCAGUAAAUCCUACCUGCUUUCACUGA
Homo sapiens (human) is the source of this 258-nucleotide long non-coding RNA. Ensembl annotates it as ZNF133 antisense RNA 1. Its record names the gene ZNF133-AS1. The record is from Ensembl. NCBI's taxonomy places the organism in Eukaryota, Metazoa, Chordata, Mammalia, Primates, Hominidae.